AAGCAAACCCCCUUGAUCAUUCUUAUAUCGCCUAUGUCUUUCUUCCUACUGCUUGCAUUAGAAUUUUGCUACUGUUGUAGUUAGCUCCUAUAUCUGAUGCAUAGCCAAUUUUUGAUGAACUGCUACUUUUAGUACCUGCACUUUAAACUGUUUAGUAUAGGUGGAGCAGUCAUCCCCUCUGACCCCUUAAUUCAGUUGCCC
Molecule: long non-coding RNA, 201 nt
Filed under: Hordeum vulgare
Lineage: Eukaryota; Viridiplantae; Streptophyta; Magnoliopsida; Poales; Poaceae
Description: long non-coding RNA (HVUL_LNC019727)
Source: RNAcentral